CACAUCAUCUGGGUACCGUAGUACCAGGUAUCUGGUCCCCGCAGGGCUGUUCCAGAACCUUCCUGGAGGGCUAAUGAAUCCCUACUAUGUCCAUUCAGCACAUACGCAAUGUACAAGGAGCCAUGCCAAGUACAAGGAUAAUGCAAUGCAACACAUUUGUGUACACUAAUGCAACUAUAACAGCCCGGAAACCGAACUGUUACCGGCACUAGGAUCCAGAUCGACUUAAGGUCGCCGGGACCCGUAGUAAGCCUACUAUACUGUCUGUGUACCUGUGAAAUCCCAUACAUGAUCAUACAUUUUCUGUAAAAAUUUGAAACUAUUCUCUGCUCCAAGGCUCAACCUGUGCAUACACUAUCUCUGUACUAUAAAACCCCUACUAGAGUUCUCAUACAUCUCUAGGCGGGUCAACUCAUAAAAAAAUGUUAAGCUUGGUUUUCAAAUCUCAUAGAAAAAAACAUUUAAACAAACUGACCAUGUAUAAAUAAAAGGGAUUACAACUAAUAAGUCAAGCACAACUCUAUACACUGUACAAUAUUAACUAUCUCUUUAUAUUUACAUGUCCACACUACACUAUUACAAUCUUAAACUCUUCUUGUAUCCAGGUGGUCUCUCUCUGGACUCUGAACCAGCAAAACUGUGGUGGUGGAGGGGGUGAGCUAUACUAGCCCAGUGAGUAGAACAUAAUAAACAUGUCAAUAAAACAUGAUCUCAUGAAAUGCAUCAUCCACAGGUAAAUCACAUCAUCUCAGAAUGGCCGGAUCAGAAAUCCCUCGAACUGAGUCUGGUCCCCUCAGGGCUAUUCCAGAACUCCACAUCAUCUGGGUACCGUAGUACCAGGUAUCUGGUCCCCGCAGGGCUGUUCCAGAACAUUCCUGGAGGGCUAAUGAAUCCCUACUAUGUCCAUUCAGCACAUACGCAAUGUACAAGGAGCCAUGCCAAGUACAAGGAUAAUGCAAUGC
This 962-nucleotide long non-coding RNA is filed under the name Manihot esculenta (cassava). RNAcentral describes it as "long non-coding RNA (MESC_LNC007699)". Lineage: Eukaryota; Viridiplantae; Streptophyta; Magnoliopsida; Malpighiales; Euphorbiaceae. The record is from RNAcentral.